AAACCCGCCUCCUCAGUUACAUCACAAGGAAACAUGCCUUCUAAGGGCAAAAGCUGCCUGUUUCCACGCCCUAACAUUCAAACUGAAAACUGCGCGCCAAGGUUUUGCAGCAGAACAGAUUUGUAAUGAAAAAGAGAAAUGCCUCCCAGAAAGCGUAGGAAGUGUACUUCGGUCACUGUGAAAAAUCAUGCAGAAAAAGCUCAGCAACCCCUGCUGCUUGUUCAGAAAGCGACACUGCUUCCCCACUGCCACAGGCAUGCCCUCCUUCCUCCAGCACAGUCGCUGUGUCACUUCAGCAUCCACCUGUAUCACUGGCUGUGGCUUGCCCAGCUGUAAUACCCGACAGCAUGGCUACACCACAAGUAUUUGCUGAAGUCGAGAGCCUUCUCCCUCUUUCUUUCAACAAGAGAAAGAAAAGAUACAGUGUGACAGCAGAGGAGAUCAGGAAAAGGAUAGGUCCACCUGAGAAUGUGUCAGCCAAUUCCCUGGUUGCAUAUCUAAGGGUAAAUAAAAAUAAAAAGAG
Molecule: long non-coding RNA, 523 nt
Organism: Acipenser ruthenus (sterlet)
Lineage: Eukaryota; Metazoa; Chordata; Actinopteri; Acipenseriformes; Acipenseridae
Exons: 4
Source: RefSeq, a predicted model, not a curated record